This 293-nucleotide long non-coding RNA is filed under the name Citrus x clementina. RNAcentral describes it as "Citrus clementina (C. clementina) long non-coding RNA (CCLE_LNC005735)". Lineage: Eukaryota; Viridiplantae; Streptophyta; Magnoliopsida; Sapindales; Rutaceae. The record is from RNAcentral.
GAGAUUACAGUAUCUUGCUUUAAGGCUAAUUUGGCUAAUGAGUGGGCUGCACUGUUGCCACUUCUCAGAAUAUGCUGAAAUUUGCUCUGCUGCAUUCUUGAUAAAAUGGCUUGAAUCUCGGAGAUUAACCAAAAGAUCUCUUUCCGAGCGCCCUUUCUAUUUAAAACCAAAUCCACUACUUCCUGGGAAUCUGUUUCAACAAUCAAGGGCAAACAACCAGCUUGCUCUGCAAUUUCUAAACCAAACUUUGUGGCUUCAGCUUCUGCGAAAGCAAUGCUUCCAUGGAACUCUGC